Molecule: long non-coding RNA, 928 nt
Filed under: Triticum aestivum (bread wheat)
Lineage: Eukaryota; Viridiplantae; Streptophyta; Magnoliopsida; Poales; Poaceae
Description: long non-coding RNA (TAES_LNC020019)
Source: RNAcentral
GCAUAUGACAACCAGAACAAGAAAAAAAACGAUCUAUGAGAAUGUCCUACCAACAGGAUGAGCAUAGUUAGUUCUAUAUCCAUUACUUCUUUCCGAAACCUGCUUCAACAUGUAUGAACAUCAUCUCAUCAGUCUAUAUCCGUUUCAGUAUUCUCAUAACUGAGAAUAGUUGUGACAUUGUAAUUUCUCUUAUUUGCUCCUCUGCCCGUAACCAUUAGUAUAUGUUUCUUGCAACCCCUAAGAAAGGAACAAAAGUGAAGUGAUACAGGCAUGCCAAUACCAAUAAAGAGCAUGUGAUAUAUGAAUCAUCAUUUUACAAUAGCCAUGAAGGAAACCAACAAUGGUCGGCAUCGAGUAGUCACCCAGGAGCUUGCUGGAAAGCAUCAUCGAUGGUAGCUACCCUGAGUUCUAUCUUCAGAACUACCUUGUUUGAGGCAUUACUCUUUUCUAAUGGCCUUGGCACCAAACAACAACCAACAAAGAGGUGACAAUGUAAACAAUAGGAAGAAAAUGAACGCAAUAAUAAGAGGUUUUGGCAAGAUAGAAGUCUCGAUUUACGUUGUUUGGACAAAUAGACAUGUAAUAGUUUUCCAUUUUCUCUUUUGGCUUUCCUAAAGAGCUUGUGCAUUCAUAUACCGCUAAGCCUAAUUGGAUUAAUAUCCGAAGAGAGCACAAAACAAUCCUAUUUUUUAACAUUGUUUUAACUAUCAAAUCAAAACUUGAGCCAUUGUUUUAACCAUCCCUAUUUUAUAUUCGUGUACUGUUAAAAUGCAGACCAUCUUGCUUCAUAGAGAAAAAUUGAAAAAGCAACAAAGUUUUGCUUCAUGAUUUACCUAUGAACCAGAACGCAUCUUACGCUUAAGGAAGGAUGUACUUCAGCUACCCAAGGCUCCAUGUUCUCCAUCUCUCCCAAAAUUUCAGCACCAUC